RNAcentral lists this ribosomal RNA (440 nucleotides) under uncultured bacterium. RNAcentral describes it as "partial 16S ribosomal RNA". It matches the Rfam family "Bacterial small subunit ribosomal RNA", at positions 338 to 795 of the family's 1533-position model. The record is from RNAcentral.
CCUACGGGAGGCAGCAGUGGGGGAUAUUGCACAAUGGGGGAAACCCUGAUGCAGCGACGCCGCGUGAGGGAAGAAGGAUUUCGGUAUGUAAAGCUCUAUCAGCAGGGAAGAAAAUGACAGUACCUGACCAAGAAGCCCCGGCUAACGUCGUGCCAGCAGCCGCGGUAAUACGUAGGGGGCAAGCGUUAUCCGGAUUUACGGGGGGUAAAGGGGGCGUAGGCGGUUAUGUAAGUCGGUAGUGAAAGCCCGGGGCCCAACCCCGGGACUGCUUUGGAAACUGGGUAACUGGAGUACAGGAGGGGCAGGCGGAAUUCCUGGUGUAGCGGUGAAAUGCGUAGAUAUCAGGAGGAACACCGGCGGCGAAGGCGGCCUGCUGGACUGAAACUGACGUUGAGGCUCGAAAGCGUGGGUAUCGAACAGGAUUAGAUACCCGGGUAGUC